ACGCGCGGAACCUUACCCACCUUUGACAUGUACGGAAUUCGCCAGAGAUGGCUUAGUGCUCGAAAGAGAACCGUAACACAGGUGCUGCAUGGCUGUCGUCAGCUCGUGUCGUGAGAUGUUGGGUUAAGUCCCGCAACGAGCGCAACCCUUGUCAUUAGUUGCUACAUUCAGUUGGGCACUCUAAUGAGACUGCCGGUGACAAACCGGAGGAAGGUGGGGAUGACGUCAAGUCCUCAUGGCCCUUAUAGGU
This 250-nucleotide ribosomal RNA is filed under the name uncultured bacterium. Its description in RNAcentral is "partial 16S ribosomal RNA". It matches the Rfam family "Bacterial small subunit ribosomal RNA", at positions 959 to 1209 of the family's 1533-position model. The record is from RNAcentral.